RNAcentral lists this transfer RNA (54 nucleotides) under Oreohelix idahoensis. RNAcentral's name for it is "tRNA-Lys". The record is from RNAcentral. Lineage: Eukaryota; Metazoa; Mollusca; Gastropoda; Stylommatophora; Oreohelicidae.
AUGGCUGAGAUUUAUGCAUUAGAUUUUUAAUCUAAUUACAGGAUUAUAUCCUUA